This 459-nucleotide ribosomal RNA is filed under the name uncultured bacterium. RNAcentral's name for it is "SSU rRNA". It matches the Rfam family "Bacterial small subunit ribosomal RNA", at positions 26 to 518 of the family's 1533-position model. The record is from RNAcentral.
AGAAUCAACGCUGGCGGCGUGCCUAACACAUGCAAGUCGAACGAGAAAGGGUAGCAAUACCUGAGUAAAGUGGCGCACGGGUGAGUAACACGUGACUAACCUACCUUUUAGUGGGGGGAUAACCUAGGGAAACCUGGGCUAAUACCGCAUAAUACCUACGGGUCAAAGCAGCAAUGCGCUGAAUGAGGGGGUCGCGGUCGAUUAGUUAGUUGGCAGGGUAAUGGCCUACCAAGACUGUGAUCGAUAUCCGGCCUGAGAGGGCGCACGGACACACUGGAACUGAAACACGGUCCAGACUCCUACGGGAGGCAGCAGUGGGAAUUUUGCGCAAUGGGGGAAACCCUGACGCAGCAACGCCGCGUGGAGGAUGAAGUCCCUUGGGACGUAAACUCCUUUCGAUCGGGACGAUAAUGACGGUACCGGAAGAAGAAGCCCGGCUAACUUCGCGCCAGCAGCCGC